AACGAACGCUGGCGGCAUGCCUAACACAUGCAAGUCGAACGAGAUCUUCGGGUCUAGUGGCGCACGGGUGCGUAACGCGUGGGAAUCUGCCCUUUGGUUCGGAAUAACAGUUGGAAACGACUGCUAAUACCGGAUGAUGACGAAAGUCCAAAGAUUUAUCGCCAGAGGAUGAGCCCGCGUAGGAUUAGCUAGUUGGUGUGGUAAAGGCGCACCAAGGCGACGAUCCUUAGCCGGUCUGAGAGGAUGAUCAGCCACACUAGGACUGAGAUACGGCCCAGACUCCUACGGGAGGCAGCAGUGGGGAAUAUUGGGCAAUGGGCGAAAGCCUGAUCCAGCAAUGCCGCGUGAGUGAUGAAGGCCUUAGGGUUGUAAAGCUCUUUUACCCGGGAUGAUAAUGACAGUACCGGGAGAAUAAGCUCCGGCUAACUCCGUGCCAGCCGCCGCCGUAA
Molecule: ribosomal RNA, 449 nt
Filed under: uncultured bacterium
Lineage: Bacteria
Description: partial 16S ribosomal RNA
Rfam family: Bacterial small subunit ribosomal RNA
Source: RNAcentral